This 560-nucleotide ribosomal RNA is filed under the name uncultured bacterium. Its description in RNAcentral is "bacterial SSU rRNA". It matches the Rfam family "Bacterial small subunit ribosomal RNA", at positions 9 to 529 of the family's 1533-position model. The record is from RNAcentral.
GAGUUUGAUCCUGGCUCAGGACGAACGCUGGCGGCGUGCCUAAUACAUGCAAGUCGAGCGAGCUUGCCUAGAUGAUUUUGGUGCUUGCACUAAAUGAAACUAGAUACAAGCGAGCGGCGGACGGGUGAGUAACACGUGGGUAACCUGCCCAAGAGACUGGGAUAACACCUGGAAACAGAUGCUAAUACCGGAUAACAACACUAGACGCAUGUCUAGAGUUUGAAAGAUGGUUCUGCUAUCACUCUUGGAUGGACCUGCGGUGCAUUAGCUAGUUGGUAAGGUAACGGCUUACCAAGGCAAUGAUGCAUAGCCGAGUUGAGAGACUGAUCGGCCACAUUGGGACUGAGACACGGCCCAAACUCCUACGGGAGGCAGCAGUAGGGAAUCUUCCACAAUGGACGAAAGUCUGAUGGAGCAACGCCGCGUGAGCGAAGAAGGGUUUCGGCUCGUAAAGCUCUGUUGGUAGUGAAGAAAGAUAGAGGUAGUAACUGGCCUUUAUUUGACGGUAAUUACUUAGAAAGUCACGGCUAACUACGUGCCAGCAGCCGCGGUAAUACGUA